Molecule: small nuclear RNA, 104 nt
Filed under: Bison bison bison
Lineage: Eukaryota; Metazoa; Chordata; Mammalia; Artiodactyla; Bovidae
Source: RNAcentral
GUGCUCACUUCAGCAGCACAUACACUAAAAUUGAAACAGUACAGAGAUUAGCACGGCCCCUGCGCAAGGAUGACACGCAAAUUCGUGAAGCGUUCCUUAUUUUU